GAACUUAAGCAUAUCAAUAAGCGGAGGAAAAGAAACCAACAGGGAUUGCCCUAGUAACGGCGAGUGAAGCGGCAACAGCUCAAAUUUGAAAUCUGGCCCUUGGGUCCGAGUUGUAAUUUGUAGAGGAUGUUUUUGGUGCGGUAUCUUCCAAGUUCCUUGGAACAGGACGCCUUAGAGGGUGAGAGCCCCGUACGGUUGAAUGCCUAGCCUCUGUAAAACUCCUUCGACGAGUCGAGUAGUUUGGGAAUGCUGCUCUAAAUGGGAGGUAAAUUUCUUCUAAAGCUAAAUACUGGCCAGAGACCGAUAGCGCACAAGUAGAGUGAUCGAAAGAUGAAAAGCACUUUGAAAAGAGGGUUAAAUAGCACGUGAAAUUGUUGAAAGGGAAGGAUUUAUGACCAGACUUUUUCUGGGCGGAUCAUCCGGUGUUCUCACCGGUGCACUUCGCUCAGUUUAGGCCAGCAUCGAUUUUCGGUGGGGGAUAAAAGCUUUAGGAAUGUGGCUCCUCCGGGAGUGUUAUAGCCUAUUGUAUAAUACCCUACUGGGGAUCGAGGUACGCGCUUCUGCAAGGAUGCUGGCGUAAUGGUUAUCAAUCACCCGUCUUGAAACACGGACCAAGGAGUCGAACAUUUGUGCAAGUGUUUGGGUGUUAAACCCUCACGCGUAAUGAAAGUGAACGGAGGUGAGAGCCCUUACGGGUGCAUCAUCGACCGAUCCUGAUGUUUUCGGAUGGAUUUGAGUAAGAGCAUAACUGUUCGGACCCGAAA
Molecule: ribosomal RNA, 764 nt
Filed under: uncultured fungus
Lineage: Eukaryota; Fungi
Description: eukaryotic LSU rRNA
Rfam family: Eukaryotic large subunit ribosomal RNA
Source: RNAcentral